GGGCCCGCACAAGCGGUGGAGCAUGUGGUUUAAUUCGAUGAUACGCGAGGAACCUUACCAGGGCUUAAAUGUAGUGGGACAGGUCUAGAGAUAGACCCUUCUUCGGACUCAUUACAAGGUGCUGCAUGGUUGUCGUCAGCUCGUGCCGUGAGGUGUCAGGUUAAGUCCUAUAACGAGCGCAACCCCUAUCGUUAGUUGCCAGCGGGUCAUGCCGGGAACUCUAGCGAAACUGCCGGUGCAAACCGUGAGGAAGGUGGGGAUGACGUCAAAUCAUCACGGCCCUUACGUCCUGGCUACACACGUGCUACAAUGGUAUCUACAACAGGAAGCAAGACUGCGAAGUUAAG
This 347-nucleotide ribosomal RNA is filed under the name uncultured bacterium. RNAcentral describes it as "bacterial SSU rRNA". It matches the Rfam family "Bacterial small subunit ribosomal RNA", at positions 917 to 1267 of the family's 1533-position model. The record is from RNAcentral.